Bombus pascuorum is the source of this 1219-nucleotide long non-coding RNA. RefSeq lists it as uncharacterized. The transcript has 2 exons. The record is from RefSeq and is a predicted model, not a curated record. NCBI's taxonomy places the organism in Eukaryota, Metazoa, Arthropoda, Insecta, Hymenoptera, Apidae.
GUAUUUCUUGUUUCAACGAUGACGUCUAACAACGAUGACAUCAACUUCGUUAUUUCCACUACACAAUUAAGAAGCUUAACACAAGUAAUAAUUUACACAUCAAAUAUGUAUGUGUAAUGCGUAACGCCAAUUACUUCCAGAAAAAGACUGAAAAGGAAGGAGAAGAAGAAUUGUAUUCAUCUGACGUUCCCAGGGAUAAAAUAUUUUCACUGUAGCAUGCUUUCUUUGAAAAGCAUUUCCCCUGUAAUUCUGGAUAGUAGAGGAGACAUUUCGUGUGUUAAAAUUAAUGAAUGUCUCCUACAAAACUUGAGAUGUGUAAAAACUGAGAAACUUCAAAGAUAUCAUCGUAAUGACGUUAACAGAGAACGAAGAAUUAGAAGAUUGAAAAAUAAUGUGAAAAUUUCUAUUCGACAAUUAAAACUAAGGGUUUAAUCCAAUUAAAGAGAACGAGGUUACAAAAUAUCGAUAUUUGUCAUUGAUAAACAGAACAGGAAGCAAUCAGAGGAAUUCGACGUGAUGCAAGCAGGUCGUGUACGUGAUGUUGCAUUAGCACGUGAAAGUGCAACACACGAUCAAUUAUUCGCCACCGUAAAUCGAUCGCAAUGAAACUGUUACAGAAUUUAAUAGUCGCUUCGCGUUCACCAGUGAACGUUCGAUAUCACACCGUUACAUUCGCGUGAAAAUCGAGCUGCAAAAUAGUAAAUGAUCGUACGGAAGUAGGGGUUCAAAAUGUUGUUAUUGACAUUUUAAACUGUUUAAUAACAAACGUUGCCAACUGUUUACUGGGAACUAAUAACAAAUAAUUUUUAUAAAUUUUUCAAAUUUUAGAUAGAGAUUGUUUGAAACUGAACAUGAGUCAAAGAUUUUUACAUAUGAAUUUCAAACAAAAUUCUUGCAAAUUCUGGAAUAAAGGAAAUAUCUCGGUAAAUGUGAAUAUUCCAGCGGAAAUAAUGGACCAGGACGUGAUCAUUCAUGCGAAAUAGUCUUUCUAAAUGUGAAUCAGUAUACUUAAUAAUGUUGCUACAUAUGUGUUUCUUAUAGUUCUCUGUGCCAAGUAAAUUUUCAAGUGAUAUAAUCGAGGUACACACACACAUGCACACAUACACAAAUACACAAAAGAUUCGAACGUUCAUGAUAAUAUUAACUAUGUACAAUCAAAUUUGUAUCUGUCACACUUGUGAAAUUUGAUAAAGCAAUAAAACCAUUAAUUUCUCGAUGA